GUUUUCUUGUCGGAGUGCCUAGCGUUCACCCUCUAUCUCGUCGGUGGACACAGGCUGAGACCGUUUAUUCGGGAUCCGCAGAACCUGAUCGGGCUAAUACCCGCGAAGGGAACAAGAGUAAUUACUCC
Molecule: non-coding RNA, 128 nt
Organism: Xenorhabdus nematophila ATCC 19061
Lineage: Bacteria; Pseudomonadati; Pseudomonadota; Gammaproteobacteria; Enterobacterales; Morganellaceae
Source: Rfam